CAGCCGCCGCGGUAAUACGGAGGGGGCUAGCGUUGUUCGGAAUUACUGGGCGUAAAGCGCACGUAGGCGGCUUUGUAAGUUAGAGGUGAAAGCCCGGAGCUCAACUCCGGAAUUGCCUUUAAGACUGCCGAGCUAGCAGGUGAGAGAGGUAAGUGGAAUUCCGGGUGUAGAGGUGAAAUUCGUAGAUAUUCGGAAGAACAUCAGUGGCGAAGGCAGCUAUCUGGGACAACACUGACGCUGAGGCACGAAAGCGUGGGGAGCAAACAGGAUUAGAUACCCCGGUAGUCCCUGUCUCUUAUAC
This 301-nucleotide ribosomal RNA is filed under the name uncultured bacterium. RNAcentral's name for it is "partial 16S ribosomal RNA". It matches the Rfam family "Bacterial small subunit ribosomal RNA", at positions 509 to 807 of the family's 1533-position model. The record is from RNAcentral.